GAUGAACGCUGGCGGCGUGCUUAACACAUGCAAGUCGAACGAUGAAGCCCAGCUUGCUGGGUGGAUUAGUGGCGAACGGGUGAGUAACACGUGAGUAACCUGCCUUUAACUCUGGGAUAAGCCUGGGAAACUGGGUCUAAUACCGGAUAGGAGCGCCUACCGCAUGGUGGGUGUUGGAAAGAUUUAUCGGUUUUGGAUGGACUCGCGGCCUAUCAGCUUGUUGGUGAGGUAAUGGCUCACCAAGGCGACGACGGGUAGCCGGCCUGAGAGGGUGACCGGCCACACUGGGACUGAGACACGGCCCAGACUCCUACGGGAGGCAGCAGUGGGGAAUAUUGCACAAUGGGCGAAAGCCUGAUGCAGCGACGCCGCGUGAGGGAUGACGGCCUUCGGGUUGUAAACCUCUUUCAGUAGGGAAGAAGCGAAAGUGACGGUACCUGCAGAAGAAGCACCGGCUAACUACGUG
This 466-nucleotide ribosomal RNA is filed under the name uncultured bacterium. RNAcentral describes it as "partial 16S ribosomal RNA". It matches the Rfam family "Bacterial small subunit ribosomal RNA", at positions 28 to 507 of the family's 1533-position model. The record is from RNAcentral.